This 618-nucleotide long non-coding RNA is filed under the name Ostreococcus sp. 'lucimarinus'. RNAcentral's name for it is "long non-coding RNA (OLUC_LNC000031)". The record is from RNAcentral. Lineage: Eukaryota; Viridiplantae; Chlorophyta; Mamiellophyceae; Mamiellales; Bathycoccaceae.
GACGCGCGAUGAAGGCGAUGAAUUAAUGCGUAUGAAUUAAUGAUGCGCGUCGACCGCGCGCGCGACGGACGCGCGCGCGCGUCGUCGCCGAUCUCGAUUGAACUAUUUAUUGGAUGAUGGCGACGGCGUCGAUCUCCACGAGCGCGCCGAGCGGAAGCGUCUUCGCCGCCAACGUCGCGCGCGCGGGGGCGUUUUCGGGGAACCUCGAGCCGUAAAUACCGUUCACCGUCUUGAAAUCGUCCAUGUCGGCGAUCAUGAUGGUGGUCUUGACGACGUCGGCGUACGUCGCGCCCGCCGCCGCGAGCACCUCGCCCAAGUUCUUCAUCACUUGCUCCGUUUGCUCCUCGAUCGUUUCGCCGGCGAACUCCAUGGCGGGCGUCAGGCCGAUUUGACCGCUGACGUACACCGUGUUGCCGACCUUGACGGCUUGGUUGUACGGGCCGAGGGCGGCCGGGGACUUAUCGGUGGCGAUGAUUUCUUUCGCCGUGGCGCGGACGGAAACGGCGCCGGCGCGUCGCGCGCUGCGCGCGCGGGUGAUUUGCGCCACCACGGGGGUGGCGCGGAAGGUCUUGGAUGCGGUGAGGGCGAAUGCGGACAUCGUGUGCGUGAGCGUGCGUG